This is a long non-coding RNA of Rosa chinensis, 828 nucleotides long. RefSeq lists it as uncharacterized. The transcript is spliced from 3 exons. Lineage: Eukaryota; Viridiplantae; Streptophyta; Magnoliopsida; Rosales; Rosaceae. The record is from RefSeq and is a predicted model, not a curated record.
AAAAUUUUAUGGAAUGGUCCACGUUACUAACGAGAAAACCUCUUCUUUUUUCAAAUAAAUAUUAAUAUUUUUGUUCUUAUCCGUCGCCAAAUGGUCUUACUAUCAAUGAGAUAUGAUCUUUUAAUUCUUCUAUUCAGUAAUUGAACAGAUAGAAGUCUCUACCGUCACACACACACACACACACACACUCUCUCUCUCUCUCCCACUCGAAUCUCACAGAGACCGACUGAGAGAUCUCAAAGUCUUCCUAUGGCUCUCAUGGAUGAUCCUGGUUCCCGACCUACGCCGCUAAAGCUACACACUUGAAUCAAGUACUGUUUUCCUACGCCGCUAAAGCUACACACUUGAAUCAAAACAAUAUCUUCUUUCUCGUCUAAGUCAAAUAAGAUUAUCCAAAGGUUUCUUUGAUUCUGUUGUUUUCUUACUCUUCAACUUGAUAAACAAUUGGGCUGGAUGUUGAUUUAGGUGUUCGAUUUAAUUUGGUUCAAUUUUUUGGGGUUUCACUUUGAUUUAGGUUUUGGGACAUCUGUGUUUACAGGUUGUUGUUGGGUUGCCUAAAAUACACCGGCACUCUCUCUCACACCUUUAUCGGGUAUAAUCUUUAAGUUGUUGGUCUAUGUUCAAGUCGAUCAAUCAGCAGCUGUCAAGUUGAUAGCUGGAAAUUGGAAUCACUUACAGAUCUUUGAAACAAAGACAAGUACUGAGGUUUCCUUUUACUCAUCACCUUAAUUUGCUUCAUUUACUCUGUUACUUGCAAUAUAAGGGUGUUAGAUUAGUUUCAGGUCAGGAUUUGGCAAUGAAGAUGAAUCCCAACUGCUAACAGGUUGA